UGGAGAAACUGUUAUGAAUGUCAAUGAACAAUGCAAUAUUUUCCACACUUUUGGAAAAAUGUGUCUUUCGUUGAAGCAGUCAAUAUAUUUGGAAGCCGGAUGGGGUGGAACCGUAUGCAAAACGGCCGACGCUCGCUUGGAGCCGUUCCUGCUGAGAGUCCUUUAACCGUUGUUUCCAUAGGACAGGGUCCUCUUCGGCGAACACGUAGUGCUCAUACAAGGCGUCCUCUUACAACUCCAAAUGCUUCUCUACUGGGACCUCGGGGUGCAACUUCGCCUAGUUUGCGUUCCAGUGGUGAUAGCUGCAGUUCAGCUGAUUCCACUAGGUUGUUGGUUAAACCAACCCUUUAGCUAAUCUCCCUCAAGAAUUUGAUUAGAAAAUAUCGGAAGCAUAACGUUGAUUCGGUGAGGCAUUAGGACGAAGGUAAACGUCGAUAGAAAAAAUCCAUAAAAACUGAAAAAGUCACGUAUUUCAAGAGGCAGAAAAGACCAUCUUAUAAGAGGUAUUGUUUCUGACUUGAUUUCUUUUACAAAUGUGGUGUAGGCUAUUUUCCAUUUUUGGUAGCCGAAGAGAUUUGACACAAUUUGUCAAUGUUUUUAACUUUUUUAAAUGUAUGUUUUGGUAAUGGGGAUACUUUAAGCAUGUCCUUCGCUAUGUAUUUGUAAUUCUAAUCAGAUUUUUUAAUACCAUGUGCAU
This is a long non-coding RNA of Daphnia carinata, 697 nucleotides long. RefSeq lists it as uncharacterized. The transcript has 3 exons. The record is from RefSeq and is a predicted model, not a curated record. Lineage: Eukaryota; Metazoa; Arthropoda; Branchiopoda; Diplostraca; Daphniidae.